RNAcentral lists this ribosomal RNA (491 nucleotides) under uncultured bacterium. RNAcentral describes it as "partial 16S ribosomal RNA". It matches the Rfam family "Bacterial small subunit ribosomal RNA", at positions 29 to 507 of the family's 1533-position model. The record is from RNAcentral.
GUGCACGCUGGCGGUAGGCCUCACACCUGCCAGUCGAACGGCAGCACCGUAAGAGCUUGCUCUUACGGGUGGCGAGUGGCGGACGGGUGAGGAAUACAUCGGAAUCUACUUUUUCGUGGGGGAUAACGUAGGGAAACUUACGCUAAUACCGCAUACGACCUACGGGUGAAAGCAGGGGAUCUUCGGACCUUGCGCGAUUGAAUGAGCCGAUGUCGGAUUAGCUAGUUGGCGGGGUAAAGGCCCACCAAGGCGACGAUCCGUAGCUGGUCUGAGAGGAUGAUCAGCCACACUGGAACUGAGACACGGUCCAGACUCCUACGGGAGGCAGCAGUGGGGAAUAUUGGACAAUGGGCGCAAGCCUGAUCCAGCCAUACCGCGUGGGUGAAGAAGGCCUUCGGGUUGUAAAGCCCUUUUGUUGGGAAAGAAAAGCAGCAGGUUAAUACCCCGCUGUUCUGACGGUACCCAAAGAAUAAGCGCCGGCUAACUUCGUG